UACGGGGGGGGUAAGCGUUGUUCGGAAUUACUGGGCGUAAAGGGCUCGUAGGCGGCCAACUAAGUCAGACGUGAAAUCCCUCGGCUCAACCGGGGAACUGCGUCUGAUACUGGGUGGCUUGAAUCCGGGAGAGGGAUGCGGAAUUCCAGGUGUAGCGGUGAAAUGCGUAGAUAUCUGGAGGAACACCGGUGGCGAAGGCGGCAUCCUGGACCGGCAUUGACGCUGAGGCGCGAAAGCCAGGGGAGCAAACGGG
RNAcentral lists this ribosomal RNA (253 nucleotides) under uncultured bacterium. RNAcentral describes it as "partial 16S ribosomal RNA". It matches the Rfam family "Bacterial small subunit ribosomal RNA", at positions 524 to 776 of the family's 1533-position model. The record is from RNAcentral.